Microcebus murinus (gray mouse lemur) is the source of this 1652-nucleotide non-coding RNA. The record is from RefSeq and is a predicted model, not a curated record. Lineage: Eukaryota; Metazoa; Chordata; Mammalia; Primates; Cheirogaleidae.
GGCACUCCACUUAACGCUCAGAGACAUUAAAGGGGGCGCAAGGACUCUCGUCCCUGCUCUAAGGUUCUCUUAGGUGCGCUAGGUGACACGCAGCCAAGCGUGCUGGAUGGUGAAGCCGGAGCUGGUCACAUGACCCCAAUUGCCAUCCCGGAAGUCAAAACAAUCCAAUAAUGUCAUAUGCAGCAAUUAGUGAUGUCACUGUUUACUGAAGCAGAGGUUUUUACCAAGCCUAAAAGAGAUUUUAACAACACAUGUGCUGAGGCGAUAACUGGUUUGAGCGGCAGCCCACGCCGGGGACAGCCGGCCGGGCCGAGGCGCCAAGUCAACGCCUCCCCAUGAGCAGGCCCACGCCUCGGGCCGGGCAUGCACGCUGCUUGUCUGAUAUGUUGGUUUUCGUUCCUCCACGUUGCAGCUAUCAGCCACCCCCUGCGUUCCGGGCUGCACAGUGACUCAGCUUCCCCGAAACCCACCCGCCGCUCCCGCUCCUCUUUGCUCGCACUGUUUCCUGACCUCCCGUGACUUCCACCAGGGAGGCGUGAGGUUUCCCCUGAAAGGCAGUCUCAAAAAAGCCAAGAACGCGCUUCCUUUGGAGUAGAGGAAAGGGGUCCAACUCACAAAAGAAUGCAAAGACCCACAGCGAUCCCCAAACUUCAAUUCCCGCACAAAAUAAACCCAAACAACAAAUACGAAAACCCCUUUCUUGAGACUAGAUAUGGACACUUAGGCCAAGGCACAGGGCAGAGGCGUCGUUUUGGAACUAUGCACACAGAGGUCUAAGGAGCUUGGACGCAUGCCCUGCCUGCUCAGCUAGAAGAUUCAUGUCUGCUGGCUUCUCCAGCACUAAAAGCACCACCCAGUCCUGAUUGCUCUGUGCCGGCUGGUCCCAGCAGUGCCCGAUCACGCCACGUGCUCCGGGAAGUUGUUCCUCAGCGGUCCCCGGAGGGUUUCUUCCACUCCACCCUGUUUGCAGCUGCUCCAUGAACGCCCGCCACACAGCAGCUGCCUAGGUGUCCUUUUGUCAUCUAAUAUCUAUUUUCCAUAAAUAUCCACGGCAACAGCAUCAUUUCAGUACUUGUAUAUGGGCUGCAUGCCACGGCUCGAUUUUAUAGACCUGAAAAAUAAGGAGCAAGAACCAAGGCCCUGAGCUCAGGAUCUCAGCGCUAACUUAAUCUGAAAAGUGAGCUAUGAUGGUGUCACGGAUGGGACUGAAAAACUAGGCUAUUUGGUUAAGAAUUUUCUAACAACGGGCAUGGAAAAGAGCAUGCAGAAGUUGCUAUGCAAAAAACCGUGUGAUUUGAGGGUAGAAAUGUAGUUCUCUGUCGAUAUUCCUAUUAGGGAAAAACAAAAACCAAAAAAAAACUAAUGCCACCUAUUUUGUAGAAUCAUUCUGAGAAUUAGAGACAAGUUGUACAGGUUAGGUGGCCCAUAAGCCCAAAGCAAACAUAAUAGAUAUUGUAAUUCAUAAAUAGUUAUUAUUAAUGUUAUAAAGCAAAGAAAAUUAUCACUUCCUUCAAAACUCGGAAAAGGGAAAGACGUUAUUGGAUAAGAUAAAAAUGAGAAAGGAUAAGAGGAAGGGGAGGAGUUGUAAUGGAAGCUAUGAUAAGUCAGAUAGUUCUUAGCCACUCCUAAGAAUUAUCACAGACAGGGACACG